UGAUGGCAGUGAUUUGACAUUACCCGCACUUCUGAUCUAAUCCGUGAAGCAAAGGGAAAAAUAAUGGUUGAAUUUCUUAAUAUGAGCCGUUCA
Molecule: small nucleolar RNA, 93 nt
Filed under: Oryza sativa (Asian cultivated rice)
Lineage: Eukaryota; Viridiplantae; Streptophyta; Magnoliopsida; Poales; Poaceae
Source: RNAcentral